GUGUGUGUGUGUGUGUGUGUGUAAAAGAGAGGAUUUCAGGCAAGCUGAGCUACUCUCCGUGACCUUGUCAGCCGGCUAAAUCUCUCUGGAGUCGAUGGCGUGCAUAUUAAGUUCAUCAGCGUAUGGGAGUGUCUUUGUGUCAGAUGCAGGCAGAGCGCGAGAGCUCAGGACUCUUAUCAACCAGUCAAUUACGAACAUUAACUGUCCUGACGGUGUUCUGAUUCAUGGACGCGCCUCACACGGAGAGCACGGCAGGCCACAGAUGAAGAGAUGUUUGAGUGAUUGUGCUGUGAAAUCCCAUCCAUAUCUGAGCUCUAAUCACACACCUGAUGGAGGAUUGACCAGAUGACCGACUCACGAGGAGCUCAAAGUCCUGAGCGAAUGUGUGUGUGCCGUUCAUCAUUAUAAACGAUGGCGCUCCUUGCAGCUGUCCUCACCGGAGCCUCAAGCCCAUCUGUCUCCAUAGAAGUUAUUUCCCAUAAUGCCUCUGUCCCUCAGAGCGGGAGCCGCUGACAGAGACGGAGAGCGGUCGUUCUGAAUGGCCGGCCGUGAAAAGGACAUUUUUCUCUUUCCACUUCCAGCAAAUGUCAUCAUCGGUCCAUCAAAGCCUGUCAAAGCUGAAGAUUGAUUGGCGGCUUCCUCCACCAAUGAGAGACGCGUCUGCUUUGUAAGUGUCCUGCAGCUGGGACCCAGUGUUAGUGUAGGAUUAUUUAUAAACUGUUAGAGUUUUUAUUAAUAAUUUGAAUUUGUUUUUAUUUUUAUAUUUUGUUUUCAUUUUAAUGUUUUAGUAAUGUGUUUAUGUGCUUUUGUAAUUUUUAUUAGUUUUGAGGUAUUACUAUUUAGG
Cyprinus carpio carpio is the source of this 844-nucleotide long non-coding RNA. The record is from Ensembl. Lineage: Eukaryota; Metazoa; Chordata; Actinopteri; Cypriniformes; Cyprinidae.